This 520-nucleotide ribosomal RNA is filed under the name uncultured Glomus. RNAcentral describes it as "SSU rRNA". It matches the Rfam family "Eukaryotic small subunit ribosomal RNA", at positions 569 to 1092 of the family's 1831-position model. The record is from RNAcentral. Lineage: Eukaryota; Fungi; Glomeromycota; Glomeromycetes; Glomerales; Glomeraceae.
AGCAGCCGCGGUAAUUCCAGCUCCAAUAGCGUAUAUUAAAGUUGUUGCAGUUAAAAAGCUCGUAGUUGAAUUUCGGGAUCAAUUUGUUGGUCGUGCCUUGGUACGUACUGGCAUUAUUGGUUUCUCCCUUCUGAGAAUCCUUGAUGUCAUUAAUUUGGUGUCUUGGGGAAUCAGGACUGUUACCUUGAAAAAAUUAGGGUGUUUAAAGCAGGCAUACGCUUGAAUACAUUAGCAUGGAAUAAUGAAAUAGGACAUUCGAUUCUAUUUUGUUGGUUUCUAGGAUCGAUGUAAUGAUUAAUAGGGAUAGUUGGGGGCAUUAGUAUUCAAUUGUCAGAGGUGAAAUUCUUGGAUUUAUUGAAGACUAACUACUGCGAAAGCAUUUGCCAAGGAUGUUUUCAUUAAUCAAGAACGAAAGUUAGGGAUCGAAGACGAUCAGAUACCGUCGUAGUCUUAACCAUAAACUAUAGCCGACUAGGGAUCGGAUGAUGUUUAAUUUUUAUGUACUCAUUCGGCGUAACCG